UGUAGGAGCUACUAUUGGAGAGGUAGAACAAAGCUGAGUCCUGCUUUUCAAAGGCAGUAGAAGGAAAAACCCAACAGUAGGAUGAUGAUGACUGAGGAUUCAAGCGAGCACCACCAGAGGUAACAACUUAACUGGGCCCUUAACAGAAGGUGGGAAUGCUGUCAGCAAAAUCAAACUGUACAAUAGAUUAUUUUUUAAAAAAUGGCUGUUACCUCUGUCAGAUACUGGACAACAAAUGUGUGAGACUAGUGAAUGUCUAGACACUUCUGUCUUAUACCAAAAUUGCUUGCCAGACUGAAACUGUAAAAUUAAAGCUGGAAGAUUAUCAACAAAGCGAUCAUCAGUUCAGAAAGGUGGCUGCCAGCACAGGAAACGUAUGACUUUUCAAGACAUCACUGCAAGGAGCAAUAGCACAGACUUUGUUUCCCCCAGAUCUCCUAUACAACUCCAGAUCAGCACACACAAAUACCAGGAAACAAGACCUGAUGAUCUUACGCUUCUCUUGUUGAAGUAGCAAUUACACAUCUCUUCUCAAGCAAUCUUUUUUGUCUUACAUCCUUGUGACUCCCUUGUUCUGGCACCUCUGCAGAUUGAUAGUGUGGCAUGGAAUUUCCCCUUCCCAGGAAAAGCUAUGAGGAUGUCAUGCAGGAUGGCUCUUCAGAGCAGACUGCUGGCUGCCUGCUCACAGCAGAGGAGGCUCAGCUGCCCCCGCCAUGGUAUCUCAGUAAGGCCAGCAGUCUGUGCCUGCAGAGGGGACAUGGGGCAGACAUGACCCAUCUGUACUCAAAUGCUGUGGAGGUACCAUAUAGGUAAGAAAAAGCCAGAAACCUUAUAUAUAAUGCUCCUGCUCCACAUAGAUGUUGUUCCCUCAGCUAGCAGUGUUGCACAUGUGGUCAUUGCCCUGUACAUUGGCUGGGCUGGAAGGUUUUAUGUGAAGGGAAAAGUUCAAAUGGAAGCUAUAUGCAGCUGGUCAGAAGCAAGCUACCUGG
This is a long non-coding RNA of Gallus gallus (chicken), 989 nucleotides long. The record is from Ensembl. Lineage: Eukaryota; Metazoa; Chordata; Aves; Galliformes; Phasianidae.